CAAUAGCGUAUAUUAAAGUUGUUGCAGUUAAAAAGCUCGUAGUUGAACUUCUGCGUACCUUCAGUUCUGGCUCCGGUCAAGCUGAUGCGUGCGCAUCCGCUUGCAAACCCGGACCGGCCUUCACUGGUCGACCGGGGGAGUAAGCCCUUUACUUUGAAAAAUUAGAGUGUUUCAGGCAGGCAAUGGCUCGAAUACAUUAGCAUGGAAUAAUGGAAUAGGACUUUUGUCCAUUUGGUUGGUUAUUGGACAUGAGUAAUGAUUAAAAGGGACAGUUGGGGGCAUUAGUAUUUAAUUGUCAGAGGUGAAAUUCUUGGAUUUAUUAAAGACUAACUUAUGCGAAAGCAUUUGCCAAGGAUGUUUUCAUUAAUCAAGAACGAAAGUUAGGGGAUCAAAGAUGAUUAGAUACCGU
This 409-nucleotide ribosomal RNA is filed under the name uncultured eukaryote. Its description in RNAcentral is "SSU rRNA". It matches the Rfam family "Eukaryotic small subunit ribosomal RNA", at positions 592 to 1018 of the family's 1831-position model. The record is from RNAcentral.